GAUGACCCUUAGCGACAGGCUUAACACAUGCAAGUCGAGGGGCAGCGGGGGUAGCAAUACCCGCCGGCGACCGGCGCACGGGUGAGUAACGCGUAUGCAACUUACCUAUCAGAGGGGGAUAACCCGGCGAAAGUCGGACUAAUACCGCAUGAAGCAGGGAUCCCGCAUGGGAAUAUUUGCUAAAGAUUCAUCGCUGAUAGAUAGGCAUGCGUUCCAUUAGGCAGUUGGCGGGGUAACGGCCCACCAAACCGACGAUGGAUAGGGGUUCUGAGAGGAAGGUCCCCCACAUUGGUACUGAGACACGGACCAAACUCCUACGGGAGGCAGCAGUGAGGAAUAUUGGUCAAUGGCCGAGAGGCUGAACCAGCCAAGUCGCGUGAGGGAUGAAGGUUCUAUGGAUCGUAAACCUCUUUUAUAAGGGAAUAAAGUGCGGGACGUGUCCCGUUUUGUAUGUACCUUAUGAAUAAGGAUCGGCUAACUCCGUGCCAGCAGCCGCGGUAAUACGGAGGAUCCGAGCGUUAUCCGGAUUUAUUGGGUUUAAAGGGUGCGUAGGCGGCCUUUUAAGUCAGCGGUGAAAGUCUGUGGCUCAACCAUAGAAUUGCCGUUGAAACUGGGGGGCUUGAGUAUGUUUGAGGCAGGCGGAAUGCGUGGUGUAGCGGUGAAAUGCAUAGAUAUCACGCAGAACCCCGAUUGCGAAGGCAGCCUGCCAAGCCAUGACUGACGCUGAUGCACGAAAGCGUGGGGAUCAAACAGGAUUAGAUACCCUGGUAGUCCACGCAGUAAACGAUGAUCACUAGCUGUUUGCGAUACCCUGUAAGCGGCACAGCGAAAGCGUUAAGUGAUCCACCUGGGGAGUACGCCGGCAACGGUGAAACUCAAAGGAAUUGACGGGGGCCCGCACAAGCGGAGGAACAUGUGGUUUAAUUCGAUGAUACGCGAGGAACCUUACCCGGGUUUGAACGCAUUCGGACCGAGGUGGAAACACCUUUUCUAGCAAUAGCCGUUUGCGAGGUGCUGCAUGGUUGUCGUCAGCUCGUGCCGUGAGGUGUCGGCUUAAGUGCCAUAACGAGCGCAACCCUUGCCACUAGUUACUAACAGGUAAAGCUGAGGACUCUGGUGGGACUGCCAGCGUAAGCUGCGAGGAAGGCGGGGAUGACGUCAAAUCAGCACGGCCCUUACAUCCGGGGCGACACACGUGUUACAAUGGCGUGGACAAAGGGAAGCCACCUGGCGACAGGGAGCGAAUCCCCAAACCACGUCUCAGUUCGGAUCGGAGUCUGCAACCCGACUCCGUGAAGCUGGAUUCGCUAGUAAUCGCGCAUCAGCCAUGGCGCGGUGAAUACGUUCCCGGGCCUUGCACAAAGCGCCCGUC
This 1372-nucleotide ribosomal RNA is filed under the name uncultured bacterium. RNAcentral describes it as "bacterial SSU rRNA". It matches the Rfam family "Bacterial small subunit ribosomal RNA", at positions 28 to 1398 of the family's 1533-position model. The record is from RNAcentral.